Homo sapiens (human) is the source of this 2844-nucleotide long non-coding RNA. RefSeq lists it as uncharacterized. The record is from RefSeq and is a predicted model, not a curated record. The transcript is spliced from 3 exons. NCBI's taxonomy places the organism in Eukaryota, Metazoa, Chordata, Mammalia, Primates, Hominidae.
CUUGAGAAAUACACUUUCAAAAAUGGUAGAGCUAAAAUCUGUUUUCCAAAGGGAAUACCUGUCUUAGAAUUUUUUUUAAGUGGCUUUUAAGGUUCUUGUUUUGUUUGAGAUGAGUAGCAGCACUUCUUGGGAUUAUAGUAGGAGAAAGGAGGUGUGGUGUGAAGCUAUUGGUUUAUGUUAAAUUUGGACCUACUAAAGUAAGAAUCAGAAUAAUGGCAUUUACAAAUCCUUGGCAACAUCAAUUCCACUUUCAGUUCCAGAAAGAUCCAUUACCUUUUCCUUUCUCUGUGUUCCUUUUCCAGAUCACUUCAUUCUUCCCACCUGCAAUGACCUGCCAUUCUUGAAGAAGACCAAAAUACUAAAAAGACCCAGUUUUUCUCUCCUGGCCAUAAGUUUAGUGCAAAGAGAGAGAUGAUGGUGAAGAAACACAAUAAUGCAGCUUUUUUUUACUAUAAUCCUUAAAAUCAAAGACACUCUCUGGCUAAUAGGACUAAUCAGAGGUCCCCCCAACUUUCCUCAAAAAGAGACUAUGCUCAAGACAUCCCUUCUCAGAUGAAAGUUUAACUUUUCGUAAAAAGCUCUAACGAAAAAGGUCUUGGGCUGAGACAGACGGGUUGCUUGAGACCAGGAGUUUGAGUUCAGUCUGGGCAACAUAGCAAGAUCCUGCCUCUAAAAAUAAUAAUAAUAAUAAUAAUAAUAAAGCUCUUUACUUCCUUCAGUCAUUUCCCCACGAUUUCCCAAGUUCAUAGCAAGGUGCUAUUAAACUCAGAAGAAUUCUUGGAAUUUCUCCCAGUGAAAACUCCACCAGGAAGGCAAUGUGGGUAGUUACCUACCUUCUGAGAGCGGAUAUCCAAGGCUACAUUCACUUGUUGCCAGGGCAGUCUCCUCCUACUCAAGUACAUCUCUUGGCAGCCUCUGUUUUUAUCAACCUCUUCCCACAAAAGGAGAGUGGUUGGUAGCUCUCUCCCUUCCCCACUCCCACGCUGAACUCAGAAGCUUCAUGAAUAGUUCAAUUGAAACAGGAUCAAGUUUCAGACACUCCCAUACUGAGAAAAUGAUCCCACUAGAUUAAAUUGGAGCCUAGAUCAGUGGAGGAAUAUUUCCACAACUCUGCCAGGGCCAGGACAGCCACCAUUAAAAGCUCAGGAGAACUGCUACCAAGAUGCAGAUUUUUGUAAUGGGGAAGACAUCACUCUCUUAUUUGUUGGGGUUCAUUGGUUGAACUCUCUAAUACAAUACAAAAUGUAAAGUCCUGGCAGGAUAAGAAAGGAAUUCCUACUCAUCAGCAGAGUGAUCUUUGCUGGUAAGCAAUUGGAAGAUGGAUGUACUUUGAUGACAGCAUUCAAAAGGAGUCCACUCUUCUUAUUGUGCUGAGACUUUGUGGUGGUGCCAAGGAAGAAGUAUUACACCACUCCCAAGAAGAAUACGCAUAAGAGAAAGAAGGUUAAGCUAACGGUCCUAAAAUAUUACAAGGUGGACAAGAAUGGCAAAACUAGUUGCCUUUGUUGUGAGUGCCCUUCAGAUUGAGUCUCGCUCUGUCACCCAGGCUGGAGUGCAGUGGCCCAAUCGAUCCCAGCUCACUGCAACCUCCACCUUCCAGGUUCAAGCGACUCUCCUGCCUCAGCCUCCUGAGUAGCUAGGACUACAGGCGUGUGCCAACACGCCCAGCUCAUUUUUGUAUUUUUAGUAGAGAUGGGGUUUCACCAUAUUGGCCAGGCUGGUCUUGAACUUCUGAUCUCAGAUGAUCCUCCUGCCUUGACCUCCCAAAGUGCUGGAAUUACAGGCGUGAGCCACUGCACCCAGCCAGCUUUGUUGCACUGUCUCCAAACAGAAUAUGUUAUUAACUUUGUAGCUAGUUGUGUAAGCAGCUCUAUAACAAAAUGAUUUCUACCAAUUUUUUUCUACAGAAAUGUAACUUGAUCUCUUUUAACCACAAAAUGUAUCCACAUCAUACAGGAAAACAUUUUGCAUUUAUUCUGGAAAAAUCCAUUUUACUUGGUAAAGAAGCUACAGCAUUUUUUUUUUUUUUUUUUUGAGAUGGAGUCUUGCUCUGUCGCCCAGGCUGGAGUGCAGGGGCACCUCGGUUCACUGCAACCUCUGCCUCCCAGGUUCAAGCGAUUCUCCUGCCUCAGCCACCGGAGUAGCUGGGAUUACAGGCACGCGGCACCAUGCCCGGCUAAUUUUUGUAUUUUUAGUAAAGAUGGGGUUUCACCAUGUUGGCCAGGCUGGUCUCGAACACCUGACUUUGUGAUCCGCCCUCCUUGGCCUCCCAAAGUGCUGGGAUUACAGCCACCCCGCCCAGCCCAGCCAAUGUAUUUCUUUUGGGUGGAUGAUUUUUUUCUUUUUGGUGACUUAUAAAUAUAACAACAAAAUGAAAGAAAAAUGAAAUUUUAACAGAUGUAAACAAUAAUAUGUAAAUUAUGUUAAAAUACCUUUGCAGUAAACUAAAUAAGUGGAUCAAUGUAAUCUGCGCAGUACAUAUACAACUUCUAAGAAUGCAAAGCUGUUCAAUAGCAUAAUGGGAUUUUUGUUAAAAUUUUAAUUAAAUUUGUAUUAAACAUUUUGUGAGCGAUACAUGAAAAUGGAAGUACUUUGUAGUGCUAAAAUUGUAGUGCUAAAAUAGGGGGAUGGGUGGAACAGGUUUCCAGUGUCAGACUCCUUUAGUUUGCCUCCCACAUUACUUACCUGCUGGAUGUCCCUUGCUUACCCUCUUUGUUUCUGUUUCCUUAAUUGCAAAAUGGAAAUAGCAGUAGAACCUACCUCAUCGUUGUUGUGAGGAUUAAAUGAGUAAAUACAUAUAAAGCAUUUUGGACAGUGCCUACCUCGAAUAGCUCAAUGCUUCCU